This 1372-nucleotide ribosomal RNA is filed under the name uncultured bacterium. Its description in RNAcentral is "bacterial SSU rRNA". It matches the Rfam family "Bacterial small subunit ribosomal RNA", at positions 28 to 1381 of the family's 1533-position model. The record is from RNAcentral.
GAUGAACGCUGGCGGCGUGCCUAAUACAUGCAAGUCGAGCGAACGGACGAGAAGCUUGCUUCUCUGAUGUUAGCGGCGGACGGGUGAGUAACACGUGGAUAACCUACCUAUAAGACUGGGAUAACUUCGGGAAACCGGAGCUAAUACCGGAUAAUAUUUUGAACCGCAUGGUUCAAAAGUGAAAGACGGUCUUGCUGUCACUUAUAGAUGGAUCCGCGCUGCAUUAGCUAGUUGGUAAGGUAACGGCUUACCAAGGCAACGAUGCAUAGCCGACCUGAGAGGGUGAUCGGCCACACUGGAACUGAGACACGGUCCAGACUCCUACGGGAGGCAGCAGUAGGGAAUCUUCCGCAAUGGGCGAAAGCCUGACGGAGCAACGCCGCGUGAGUGAUGAAGGUCUUCGGAUCGUAAAACUCUGUUAUUAGGGAAGAACAUAUGUGUAAGUAACUGUGCACAUCUUGACGGUACCUAAUCAGAAAGCCACGGCUAACUACGUGCCAGCAGCCGCGGUAAUACGUAGGUGGCAAGCGUUAUCCGGAAUUAUUGGGCGUAAAGCGCGCGUAGGCGGUUUUUUAAGUCUGAUGUGAAAGCCCACGGCUCAACCGUGGAGGGUCAUUGGAAACUGGAAAACUUGAGUGCAGAAGAGGAAAGUGGAAUUCCAUGUGUAGCGGUGAAAUGCGCAGAGAUAUGGAGGAACACCAGUGGCGAAGGCGACUUUCUGGUCUGUAACUGACGCUGAUGUGCGAAAGCGUGGGGACCAAACAGGAUUAGAUACCCUGGUAGUCCACGCCGUAAACGAUGAGUGCUAAGUGUUAGGGGGUUUCCGCCCCUUAGUGCUGCAGCUAACGCAUUAAGCACUCCGCCUGGGGAGUACGACCGCAAGGUUGAAACUCAAAGGAAUUGACGGGGACCCGCACAAGCGGUGGAGCAUGUGGUUUAAUUCGAAGCAACGCGAAGAACCUUACCAAAUCUUGACAUCCUUUGACAACUCUAGAGAUAGAGUUUUCCCCUUCGGGGGACAGAGUGACAGGUGGUGCAUGGUUGUCGUCAGCUCGUGUCGUGAGAUGUUGGGUUAAGUCCCGCAACGAGCGCAACCCUUAAGCUUAGUUGCCAUCAUUAAGUUGGGCACUCUAAGUUGACUGCCGGUGACAAACCGGAGGAAGGUGGGGAUGACGUCAAAUCAUCAUGCCCCUUAUGAUUUGGGCUACACACGUGCUACAAUGGACAAUACAAAGGGCAGCGAAACCGCGAGGUCAAGCAAAUCCCAUAAAGUUGUUCUCAGUUCGGAUUGUAGUCUGCAACUCGACUAUAUGAAGCUGGAAUCGCUAGUAAUCGUAGAUCAGCAUGCUACGGUGAAUACGUUCCCGGGUCU